UGAAUUGAUGACUUCACAAGAAGAAGAAGAACUUGUUGUUUAAGGGAUUCGCACUGACCUUCCCUCUGUGGAUGGUAUGCCCGGGAGGUGACUAGGCAUUCCCACGUGCGGGUUCUCUGGUGCCCUCUCUCUUUACUACAUUCUCUGUGCUCACUCUGCUACUUAUCACCCGAUAGAGUGGCUUCGCUCCUCCCGAAGGCCUAAUCUUCUUAGUGAGAACACUUAGCUUGUCUGUGAGGUAAGAAAGAGUAGGAUUUCACCUUCUUC
RNAcentral lists this long non-coding RNA (267 nucleotides) under Coffea arabica (coffee). RNAcentral describes it as "long non-coding RNA (CARA_LNC005892)". The record is from RNAcentral. Lineage: Eukaryota; Viridiplantae; Streptophyta; Magnoliopsida; Gentianales; Rubiaceae.